CAGACUAGCAAUCUGAUAUUUGUUUUUGCAAUGAACAUAACCAUGAGUUUUGCCUAUGUGUAUGUAUUAGUGCUUCUGAUGUGCUGUCAAGAAUCGAGGGGACAGAUUACAGUCACACAGACCCCAGCAGUGAAAGCUGUUCAGCACGGAGAGACAGUCAUCUUAAACUGCAAAACCAGCAGUAAUGUAUACACAGGAUGGGGAUUCCCCGCAUUAGCCUGGUACCAUCAGAACCCUGGAGCUGCUCCUAGACUCCUAGUCCACAAAGCAACAACUCUCUUCUCUGGGACACCAUCCAGAUUCAGUGCCAGUGGAUCUGAUAGGGACUUCAGUUUAACUAUCAGUGGAGUCCAGGCUGAAGAUGUAGGAGAUUACUACUGUCAGAGUUUCCACUACCCCAACAGUGUGUACGUGUACACUUUUGGAAGCGGCACGAAGCUUGACGUUGAAAGUAACACCAGCCCCAAACUGACAGUCUUGCCCCCGUCAAGCGAAGAGCUCUCCAGCAAGAGUACUGCCACGCUGGUGUGCCUGGCCAACGGAGGCUUCCCGUCAGACUGGGCUCUCAGCUGGAAGGUGGAUGGGAACAGCAGACCUGGGGUGGCCAGUCGCUGGGGUCCAGAGAAGAACGGCCUGUACAGCUGGAGCAGCACCCUGACCAUGCCUUCUCAGGAGUGGACCAAGGCUGCCUCAGUGACCUGUGAGGCCAAACAGGGCUCCCAGUCUCCAGUCACCAAGGUUAUAAAGAGAGGCGAAUGCUCUGACUAGAGUAGCCUACUUCCAUUUUCUACAGUCUGGGUGACUGAUUAUAGUAUUUGUCUUAUUUUUGUAUCGUUCAUGUGCUCACUGUACUGUGUUUGCUGUCUUCAUUGACAUACAUCCACAGCCUUUACUGUUAUCUACUUGUUCUGCUUGAUCAAUGAGAAAAUGUUCUUGUGCCAUUUCUGUUGCAAAAUUUGACAUGGAAAAAAUAAAAGCUUUCUACUGAA
This is a non-coding RNA of Alosa sapidissima (American shad), 989 nucleotides long. NCBI's taxonomy places the organism in Eukaryota, Metazoa, Chordata, Actinopteri, Clupeiformes, Clupeidae. The record is from the annotation of a RefSeq genome assembly.